AAACAUUUGAUCAAUGGAAAUCUCAGGGUUUAGCAAAGCAAAAGUGGUUUUCCCAGAGUGAGGCUGACCCACUGUAUUCCAGUUGUGCUGAUCGCUGUGCUUGCCCCAAAAGGGGAAAACUCAUUUGCAUAAUUUGGUUUAGUGGGGACGUGCAUUCAUGCUAAUCCCUG
Ornithorhynchus anatinus (platypus) is the source of this 170-nucleotide small nuclear RNA. RefSeq annotates it as U1 spliceosomal RNA. The record is from RefSeq and is a predicted model, not a curated record. The transcript has a single exon. Lineage: Eukaryota; Metazoa; Chordata; Mammalia; Monotremata; Ornithorhynchidae.